RNAcentral lists this long non-coding RNA (599 nucleotides) under Mytilus galloprovincialis (Mediterranean mussel). The record is from RNAcentral. Lineage: Eukaryota; Metazoa; Mollusca; Bivalvia; Mytilida; Mytilidae.
GUUGGUACGUAUUACUAUUGUGUUUGGUAUUUGUGUUGGUACAUAUUACUAUUGUGUUUGGUAUUUGUGUUGGUACGUAUAACUACUGUGUUUGGUAUUGCAUUUUUGUUAUUCUGUUUGGUGUUUGUAUGUCUAACUGUUGUGUUUAGUCAGUUCCGUAAGUCAAAGCUGUAUAGGUUUGACUUUAUAAUAUGAAGCUUGUAAUUACGGACAUAAACCUUAUCAAGUGUCAUUCAGUUGUUAUGGUUGCUGGCUGCCUUAUUUGUUAUUUGUUUGUUCUUUGAUGCAUAGAUCAGGCAGUUGUUUUUUUCCCUUUUGAAUUGUUUCCAGUUCUCUUAUGUCUGAGUUUUGCUUUUUGUUAAAUCCAUUCCUUUAGAGGAUAUUUGUCUUAUUGGCACUCAUACAUAGCCUUAUUCAUAUUAUAUAUUAUGUAUUAUAGCAUAUUAUCCCUCGUACACUCUUGUGCCAACCAGUAUUAGCUAUAGGGACCAUAUAUUUCAUGCUUGCACACACCUGUCACCAUUACAUUUCUUUUUUCAAUGAAGCUUGAAAUCGGUGCAUAUAUUGUAAAAACUUUCACUUCAUAAAGAACAAUUGUU